UACGUAGGGGGCUAGCGUUAUCCGGAAUUACUGGGCGUAAAGGGUGCGUAGGUGGUUUCUUAAGUCAGAGGUGAAAGGCUACGGCUCAAUCGUAGUAAGCCUUUGAAACUGGGAAACUUGAGUGCAGGAGAGGAGAGUGGAAUUCCUAGUGUAGCGGUGAAAUGCGUAGAUAUUAGGAGGAACACCAGUUGCGAAGGCGGCUCUCUGGACUGUAACUGACGCUGAGACACGAAAGCGUGGGGAGCAAACAGGAUUAGAUACCCCGGUAGUCCCUGAG
RNAcentral lists this ribosomal RNA (277 nucleotides) under uncultured prokaryote. RNAcentral's name for it is "partial 16S ribosomal RNA". It matches the Rfam family "Bacterial small subunit ribosomal RNA", at positions 524 to 801 of the family's 1533-position model. The record is from RNAcentral.